RNAcentral lists this ribosomal RNA (631 nucleotides) under Aspergillus tamarii. Its description in RNAcentral is "eukaryotic LSU rRNA". The stretch from base 241 to 394 matches the Rfam family "5.8S ribosomal RNA". The record is from RNAcentral. Lineage: Eukaryota; Fungi; Ascomycota; Eurotiomycetes; Eurotiales; Aspergillaceae.
UGAAGUAAAAGUCGUAACAAGGUUUCCKURGGUGUMACYUGGCGGGAAGGAWCAUUACCGAGUGUAGGGUUCCUAGCGAGCCCAACCUCCCACCCGUGUUUACUGUAACCUUAGUUGCUUCGGCGGGCCCGCCUUUAAGGCCGCCGGGGGGCAUCAGCCCCCGGGCCCGCGCCCGCCGGAGACACCACGAACUCUGUCUGAUCUAGUGAAGUCUGAGUUGAUUGUAUCGCAAUCAGUUAAAACUUUCAACAAUGGAUCUCUUGGUUCCGGCAUCGAUGAAGAACGCAGCGAAAUGCGAUAACUAGUGUGAAUUGCAGAAUUCCGUGAAUCAUCGAGUCUUUGAACGCACAUUGCGCCCCCUGGUAUUCCGGGGGGCAUGCCUGUCCGAGCGUCAUUGCUGCCCAUCAAGCACGGCUUGUGUGUUGGGUCGUCGUCCCCUCUUCGGGGGGGACGGGCCCCAAAGGCAGCGGCGGCACCGCGUCCGAUCCUCGAGCGUAUGGGGCUUUGUCACCCGCUCUGUARGCCCGGCCGGCGCUUGCCGAACGCAAAACAACCCAUUCUUYCCAGGUUGACCUUCGGGAUCAAGGGUAGGGAWACCCGCWGARYUUAAGCAUAUCAAUAAGCGGAGGUA